Molecule: ribosomal RNA, 253 nt
Filed under: uncultured bacterium
Lineage: Bacteria
Description: partial 16S ribosomal RNA
Rfam family: Bacterial small subunit ribosomal RNA
Source: RNAcentral
UACGUAGGGUGCAAGCGUUAAUCGGAAUUACUGGGCGUAAAGCGUGCGCAGGCGGUUUUGUAAGUCUGUCGUGAAAUCCCCGGGCUCAACCUGGGAAUUGCGAUGGAGACUGCAAGGCUGGAGUCUGGCAGAGGGGGGUAGAAUUCCACGUGUAGCAGUGAAAUGCGUAGAGAUGUGGAGGAACACCGAUGGCGAAGGCAGCCCCCUGGGUCAAGAUUGACGCUCAUGCACGAAAGCGUGGGGAGCAAACAGG